CAGCCGUAAACAAUGUGCGUUAGGUGUGUCGGUAACCACGCGUUACUGAUGCGCCGAAGAGAAAUCGUGAAACGCACCACCUGGGAAGUACGGUCGCAAGGCUGAAACUUAAAGGAAUUGGCGGGGGAGCACCACAACAGGCGGAGCCUGCGGUUUAAUUGGAUUCAACGCCGGACAUCUCACCGGAUAAGACAGCUGAAUGAUUGUCAAUCUGAAGGUUUUACAUGACUAGCUGAGAGGAGGUGCAUGGCGUAGUCGUGU
Molecule: ribosomal RNA, 261 nt
Filed under: uncultured archaeon
Lineage: Archaea
Description: partial 16S ribosomal RNA
Rfam family: Archaeal small subunit ribosomal RNA
Source: RNAcentral